RNAcentral lists this non-coding RNA (129 nucleotides) under unclassified sequences. RNAcentral describes it as "LAGLIDADG-2 RNA". It matches the Rfam family "LAGLIDADG-2 RNA". From Rfam's summary of the family: Halobacteria (Archaea). The record is from Rfam by way of RNAcentral.
AUAUGAGGCCCAGUUAGAGGCCUCACUAACCUGGGGAGGUUAGACUUCCAAAUGGGUAGCAGCGGCACCCUUCUGGAUAGACGGCAACCAGAGACCGGGCUUGUCAGACCUGGUCGGGAAACCCGUCUU